Molecule: long non-coding RNA, 473 nt
Organism: Drosophila elegans
Lineage: Eukaryota; Metazoa; Arthropoda; Insecta; Diptera; Drosophilidae
Exons: 2
Source: RefSeq, a predicted model, not a curated record
GUGCCAGUGGAAAUCGGACUCAUAUUUAUUGAAAAUCCCGACUGUUUUUCAAGGAUGGACUUACCACCGCAUAAAUAAGUCUAUCUAAGUCCGCCAAAUUUAGAUGGCGGUGGAUGGAUUUCUGUGGGAAGAGGCUAUAAAGAGGUUGCUGCGGAAAAUUGUUGCGACCCAUUCACAUAGGCUCCCGCUGUUGCAAAUGCGGCCUAGAUUAAGUAAACCAGAGGUGCCCGGCCCGUGCACACGGAAAACAUUUGGAGAUGUGUGGGCCCUCACAUAAGAGACUCAUUCAACACUUUAAUAAUGGAAGCGACCUUAAUAAUUCAUCGACCUGUGUUAAUAUCAGAGUUAACUCAAUAACUCCAAAAGGAAAUAAUUCCCUACAGCAUUACAAAGGCCAACUGAAGUUUUGUAAUGACCCAACCGCAUAUGAUUAUGAUAAAUAAACGCUUUUCUAAGCAUAGUUUCACACCAUA